UCUUGGCCGUGCGCGGAGGUGAAAGAAAAGGAUGUGAUGUUGAGCAGACGAAGGUGACAGUGGUAUACGUGUAAAUAAGAAAUGGACAGUUAGUACGAUUCGAAUCAUUUGUGUUGUGAAAAAGAGACCUUAGAUUGAAAGGCCCGGUGUUAUUUACGUCAAAAUAAUCACUGUGUAUACAUUAGCAGAUACAACUUCUUCAAGAAACUUAUGUUUGCCUGCAGUAGUAAUGUUUUGAAGAUACGUGUUCCCCUGCUUGUUUAUUUUUGAAACAGUUUUUAAUAGUAAUUUGUCGUGGUUCCCAAGUUUCGGUCUAGUUUGAACUAAGUUAAUCCAUGAUCCCCCAUUAUUUAAUUAUUUUACGCCGUUGACGAUUGUAAGAACUGCAUGUAUGGAAGUAUCGGCUAUUUUUAAUGACCAGCCAGAGGCUGAAGAACUCACCACAGGAAUUUUUGGUGAUUUGGGUGAAGAACCAUGGUUGAAUGUCACAGGAGGGGAUUCAGAUAUGAACAUGUUUUUCCACAGGGUAGGUUCAGAUCAGAUUAUAUAUCAGAGAAGGAAGAAGAAAUGUAAAAUAAUUGGAAAAUAUGUGAUGGGAGAUUUGCUAGGUGAGGGCAGUUACAGCAAAGUAAAAGAGCUGUUAGACACAGUUUCUCUCUGCAGAAGAGCAGUAAAAAUAUUAAAGAAGAAGAAACUGAGGAGAAUCCCAAAUGGGGAACAGAAUGUUCAGAGGGAGAUUCAACUGCUGAAAACACUACAACACAAGAAUGUAAUACAUUUGGUGGAGGUGCUGUACAAUGAUGAAAAACAGAAAAUGUAUAUGGUAUUGGAAUAUUGCGUUGGAGGACUACAAGAUAUGCUUGAAAGUGCACCUAAAAAGAAGUUCCCACUUUGGCAAGCACAUGGGUACUUUAGUCAACUUAUUGAUGGCUUGGAGUAUCUUCAUAGCAAAGGAAUUGUUCACAAGGACAUAAAACCAGGAAAUUUGCUUCUGACACUUGACGAAACACUCAAGAUAUCAGAUCUUGGAGUUGCGGAGUCAUUACAUCCAUUUGCAAGGGAUGACACUUGUUCAACAAAUCAAGGCUCUCCUGCAUUCCAGCCACCCGAAAUAGCAAAUGGUCAUGAGAGAUUUGCUGGGUUCAAGGUUGAUAUUUGGAGCAGUGGAGUUACUUUGUAUAACAUCACUACUGGCCAGUACCCCUUUGAAGGUGACAACAUUUACAGGUUGUUUGAAAACAUUGGAAAUGGGAAGUUUUCAAUACCAAAUGAACUUGACAAUCUCCUCACAGAUUUGCUUAGAGGGAUGUUGGAAAAAGAUCCAGAAAAGAGGCUCUCUCUACAACAAAUACGACAACAUCCGUGGUUCUUACACAAACCAGAUCGAACUACAGAGUAUGUUCCUGUGCCGCCUCUACGUGGAGAUGAUUAUCAUAUGAUGACAGUUUUGCCAUAUCUUAUGGAGUUCCAUUAUGGGGAAGAAAUUUCUGGCACUGAAAAUCAUGUUGAUUAUAUUACAGAGCACCAACUUAAUGAAAAGUGUUCUUUUUGUAGAGGAACGAAAGCAGCAGCAGCAGCAGCAAGAGACACAAGGACAGUUGAGACUGAAUGCAUCAGACUCUCAUCCACAUGCUGGUAGUGGUGGAAGUAAACGGCGCUGGAGACGACCAAUCUCGUGUAUUAGUGUAAAAAAAUUUCCCACUUGUAAGCAGUCGUAGCACCUCUUCUAUUCACUGGUGGCUCCCUUUCUACAAGAAGACCACAACCUCUGAUGAAUCUUCUGGUCAAGAAAUCCCAACGAAAGAAAGGAAAACUUUUGAGAUAUCCACGUACAACAAGUUUCGUUACAGCAAUCAGAUGAAGAGGGAAAUAGUUACCAGCUCAUUCAUCAGUGGAUUAGUUGUGAAUACAUUCAGUUUUCCAAAAACAAUCAAAUUCCUUUCUCUUACUCACAAGAAAGCUUAUCGACAAGGAAGAUUCUCCAUUAACAACAAUAAGGUAGAGGAUUUGAAGAAAGUGGAAGUUUGCAUUCAGGGCUAUGAAUCUUUCAACAAAGAAAUAUUCAGUUAGCCAACUAUCACUGAAAUGACUGAUAUUCUUCAUUCAGAUGUAGAAGAUGAGGACUAGAAUAGUUAAUAAACAACACUUUUGAUUUUACAGAAUGGAUAGUAGCAUGUUAUGACAUGCAAUAUCUAAGAUUUGCCUUAGAAGAAGAAGGAGGAGGAGGAAAGCUAUGUUUAGGCUAUCAUACGAAUAUGAGUGAAAUAUUAGUUGCUUUUCUACAAGUGAAGUGCAUUUUCUUAUAGAUUAUUCCAUGGAAAUAAAGAAAAGUAGUAGAGUUCAUAAAGGUGAUUUAUUACAGAAACAACACAUGCAAAAGUUUUUAAACCUGUUAUAUAAUCAAGAAUGGACUAAGGGAUAAAACAGUGUGUCAGUACAUUGGGAAAAUAUGUCAUUUACACAUAUAAUAUGUACAGAUCUGUUAAAAACAAUGUACUCUUGUGCAGUUACAUUGAUUGUUAAACUUGACUAGUGUUCAAUGACUGUUAUCCAAAAAGUUGUUCCGUAUAAAGAGAUAUGGUUGUCAAUGUAUUUUUAAUUUUUCACUUUUAGCAUUUCACUUUUGUAUGUAAAUAUAUGUUUCCUGCGCUCUAUUGAGAAGUGUGUGGUCUAGAACUAGCAUCACUAUUUAGACUAGUAUUCAUCUGCAACUUUUCACCUAUAUAUCUUUGCUUUUUGAUAAUGCUUUUAAUAUUAGGUACUGUUUAAUAUGCCCACAUAUUGGAGAGGUAGGCUUUUGAUCAGUUGAAGCUUUCAGAUAUGUUAAAGCAAUGAGAAGCUGUGAUAUGUCAGGAUUUCUCUACAGAUCUGUUGCAUAUACACUUCUCGGGUUUGCUGCUGUGUCAUAUUGUGCAAAUCCUACAAUAUUUCAUUGAUACAACUGUUCGGUGGUAGAUGCUGUUGUCACUGGUACAAGAUGCGACUGCUGAUAAUCGUGCAGAUGCGUUGGAAUUUAAUAGGCCAGAAGCAGGCAAUAUGCAUGCACAGGAAGACGCUUGCAGUUGGAGGAAAGCAGUGCCCAAAGAGGCCCGUGCUGGGAGCUGCAGAAAGCCUUCCACUCAUACACCAUGGGCAAGGACUGUGCUGCCGGACACACCUGUGGUUAAAAGCUGAAUUAAAUCUUAGCUGUGCACUUUGUUGAGUCCUGAAUAGGAAGUUCUUAUUUCUCCUGUUUUAAUUAACAGCAGCCACUGCUGGGUUCUAGGUGGUACUUAAUUGAAAACCUGCAUCCCUGUUGAAAAGAUUGUCCGCUGUGCAGGUAUUUACGGCCUCCUUAAGAACACAGUCCUAGAAAGAUAACACUGAGGAUAGAAUUUCAGUCUUCUUGUAAAAUGUGCAAUGCCCUGUGCCCAGGCAAUGCUCCACUACUGCUGAUUUAUCAGGUUGCCCCAGGCAUGUACAAAGAUGGUGUUCAACACAACACCCUUGCACGGUUUGGCAUGUCUGCUCAAUAUAAGAUUUCCCACAUUGGCAUGUGAUCUUAUAUACACUACAUUUCCUAAGGCCAAGAUCAUCUUUGACCAAACACAACAUAUUUCUCAAUUUUGCUGGUGGCCGGAAAACACACUUAAUAUCGUGUCUCUUGAGGAUUUUUUCUGUUCUUGAAGUGCAUGGGGCAGCGCAGUCUUUGCCCACAGUGCAUGCACAAAAGGCCUUGCUGCGACUCCUUGCAGGGGACACUUUGUGCACCGCUUUCCUCCAACUACGAAAGUCUUCCUGCAUACAUGUAUUGCCUGCUCCUGGCCUUAUAAAUUUCAAUGCCAAUGCACAAUUAUCAUUGGUCACAUCUUGUAGCAGUGAAAACAGAAUCUAUCACCACCUGAAGAUGUCAGACUGUCAUAUCAACAAAAUAUUGUGGGAUUUGCACAAUAUGAUCUGGCAGCAAACCCGAGAAGUCUAUUUGCAAUGAGAAGUUAUUUAUCACUAUAUUUAGGAGUACACAUGGGUUUUGUACUGAUAAUGCAUUUGUUAAUGCAUUAUUCAUUUAGACUGUUUAAUAAUUACUGGUAUUCUUGCAUUGACUAUAACUUAUUUAGUUCUUGCCCCGUUCUUACAAAUUGGUCAAGUGAUGUGUAUUUAUUUAAUAGCUUUUCAGUUUCUUUCAGUUAUUUACUUUGUACCACCCACUUUUUCCCCCAAUUUAAACUUUCAGACAUGAGUAGACUAGGGACAUGUGUACUAGAUUUUCUUCUUUAAAUCAGAUUGUAAUAAAUUUUUAUUGCUUUGUGUUGUGUCAAUUAUGUUAUAUAUACCUCAUAAUGUUUUUGUAUCCUGGUUAUUGUAUCGUUCAUGUAACAGAUUUGGUACACUAUUAUUGUGUGUAAUGACACUACGUUAAGUAUCAAGUAGUAUGUUGCACUUCACAUGUUUUUAAAAUGAUAUCAUGUAUUGACAGUGUUUCUGACAACAGUCGGUGCCAUGUGACAUUAAUAUUACUUUACUGUUUGGGUUGUUAUCAUCAUCAUAUUUUGUUCAUGCAUAUUGUAUUAAGGUUGUAAUUGUUUUAUUAUAUGACACUACUUAUUUCGAUGUGUUAGCUAUCAUGUUUGUAUCUUUGGUGUGUAAUUUCUUUGGUCGUGUAUAUCUCACACCUAUUUGGUCCCAUCUGUAAUAGUAGCAUUGAGAUUUUUUCUCUGCCAUUUAAUGGGACAUAGUGUUUCACUUUUGAAAUUUUAAUUCUUCUGGAUGUACACUGAAAGUUCGACUGUACUGCAGAAGUUCCUCAUAUAUAGAAUUACGUAUGACAUAUGAAGUCUUAAUUGUUUUAUUUUGUAAAUAACACAAAGAACUAUUUUUAUAUGUUGUCUUGCUUUUCUUUGAUUCUACAUUCUGUUUUCUUUGCUUUAUGUUGAUAAAGUUACAUGGACAAUGU
This is an RNA transcript of Schistocerca nitens (vagrant locust), 4933 nucleotides long. It is a transcript of the gene named serine/threonine-protein kinase stk11-like, with no coding region annotated. The record is from RefSeq and is a predicted model, not a curated record. Lineage: Eukaryota; Metazoa; Arthropoda; Insecta; Orthoptera; Acrididae. The transcript is spliced from 8 exons.